GAUGAAGAACGUAGCGAAAUGCGAUAAGUAAUGUGAAUUGCAGAAUUCAGUGAAUCAUCGAGUCUUUGAACGCACAUUGCGCCCCCUGGUAUUCCGGGGGGCAUGCCUGUUCGAGCGUCAUUAUAACCACUCAAGCUCUCGCUUGGUAUUGGGGUUCGCGGUUCCGCGGCCCCUAAAAUCAGUGGCGGUGCCUGUCGGCUCUACGCGUAGUAAUACUCCUCGCGAUUGAGUCCGGUAGGUCUACUUGCCAGCAACCCCCAAUUUUUACAGGUUGACCUCGGAUCAGGUAGGGAUACCCGCUGAACUUAAGCAUAUCAAUAAGCGGAGGA
RNAcentral lists this unclassified non-coding RNA (329 nucleotides) under soil metagenome. RNAcentral's name for it is "partial contains 5.8S ribosomal RNA, internal transcribed spacer 2, and large subunit ribosomal RNA". The stretch from base 1 to 120 matches the Rfam family "5.8S ribosomal RNA", at positions 35 to 154 of the family's 154-position model. The record is from RNAcentral.